UGGUUGAUCCUGCCAGAGGCUACUGCUAUCGGGGUCCGACUAAGCCAUGCGAGUUGAGAGGGGUAAGCCCUCGGCAUAUUGCUCAGUAACACGCGGAUAACCUGCCCUUGGGUUCGGGAUAACCCCGGGAAAACUGGGACUAAUACAGGAUAGAUCAAAGAGACUGGAAUGUUCUCUGGUUAAAAACUCCGGUGCCCAAGGAUGGGUCUGCGGCCUAUCAGGUAGUAGUGGGUGUAACGUACCUACUAGCCUACGACGGGUAAGGGUUGUGAGAGCAAGAGCCCUGAGAUGGAUUCUGAGACAUGAAUCCAGGCCCUACGGGGUGCAGCAGGCGCGAAAACUUUACACUGCGGGAAACCGCGAUAAGGGGACCCCGAGUGCCAGCACCUAGUGCUGGCUGUCCAGCUGUCCAAAUAACAGUUGUUAGCAAGGGCCGGGCAAGACCGGUGCCAGCCGCCGCGGUAACACCGGCGGCCCGAGUGGUAGCCGUUAUUAUUGGGUUUAAAGGGUCCGUAGCCGGCCUAUUAAGUCUCUUGGGAAAUCUGGCGACUCAAUCGUCAGUCGUCCAAGAGAUACUGGUAGGCUUGGGACCGGGAGAGGUGGGAGGUACUCCAGGGGUAGGGGUGAAAUCUCGUAAUCCUUGGGGGACCACCGAUGGCGAAGGCAUCCCACCAGAACGGGUCCGACGGUGAGGGACGAAAGCUGGGGGCACGAACCGGAUUAGAUACCCGGGUAGUCCCAGCCGUAAACGAUGCUCGCUAGGUGUCAGGUGCGGUGCGACCGCAUCUGGUGCCGCAGUGAAAACUUGAAGCGAGUCACCUGGGAAGUACGGUCGCAAGGCUGAAACUUAAAGGAAUUGGCGGGGGAGCAC
RNAcentral lists this ribosomal RNA (871 nucleotides) under uncultured archaeon. RNAcentral's name for it is "bacterial SSU rRNA". It matches the Rfam family "Archaeal small subunit ribosomal RNA", at positions 5 to 879 of the family's 1478-position model. The record is from RNAcentral.